Molecule: long non-coding RNA, 256 nt
Filed under: Olea europaea (common olive)
Lineage: Eukaryota; Viridiplantae; Streptophyta; Magnoliopsida; Lamiales; Oleaceae
Description: long non-coding RNA (OEUR_LNC003686)
Source: RNAcentral
UGUUGGGGAUCCUAGGAGUUCAAACUACCAAAACAACGAUCAACAAACAAGAUUCAAAGCAAAAAACAAGAAAAUAAAAGUGGAAGAAUACAACCCCUUCUUUGGCCGGAAUCUGUCCAGCUUCUUCUUCUUCUGCCGGCAGCUUCUUCUUCACCUCUUAUGGCAGUUUUUCAGGCUCAGGAACAGCCCCAUGCUAUGCAAAUUGCCUUCCAAAGAGAGAGGGGAAAAAUCCAAUGAAGAACCACCACCCUUUUGU